AGAGUUUGAUCCUGGCUCAGGAUGAACGCUAGCUACAGGCUUAACACAUGCAAGUCGAGGGGAAACGAUAUUGGAAGCUUGCUUCCGAUAGGCGUCGACCGGCGCACGGGUGAGUAACGCGUAUCCAACCUGCCCAUCACUUGGGGAUAACCUUGCGAAAGUAAGACUAAUACCCAAUGACGUCUCUAGAAGACAUCUGAAGGAGAUUAAAGAUUUAUCGGUGAUGGAUGGGGAUGCGUCAGAUUAGCUUGUUGGCGGGGUAACAGCCCACCAAGACGAUGAUUGGUAGGGGUUCUGAGAGGAAGGUCCCCCACAUUGGAACUGAGACACGGUCCAAACUCCUACGGGAGGCAGCAGUGAGGAAUAUUGGUCAAUGGACGAGAGUCUGAACCAGCCAAGUCGCGUGAGGGAAGACUGCCCUAUGGGUUGUAAACCUCUUUUAUAAGGGAAGAAUAAGUUCUACGUGUAGAAUGAUGCCUGUACCUUAUGAAUAAGCAUCGGCUAACUCCGUGCCAGCAGCCGCGGUAAUACGGAGGAUGCGAGCGUUAUCCGGAUUUAUUGGGUUUAAAGGGUGCGUAGGCGGUUUAUUAAGUUAGUGGUUAAAUAUUUGAGCUAAACUCAAUUGUGCCAUUAAUACUGGUAAACUGGAGUACAGACGAGGUAGGCGGAAUAAGUUAAGUAGCGGUGAAAUGCAUAGAUAUAACUUAGAACUCCGAUAGCGAAGGCAGCUUACCAGACUGUAACUGACGCUGAUGCACGAGAGCGUGGGUAGCGAACAGGAUUAGAUACCCUGGUAGUCCACGCCGUAAACGAUGCUCACUGGUUCUGUGCGAUAUAUUGUAUGGGAUUAAGCGAAAGUAUUAAGUGAGCCACCUGGGGAGUACGUCGGCAACGAUGAAACUCAAAGGAAUUGACGGGGGCCCGCACAAGCGGAGGAACAUGUGGUUUAAUUCGAUGAUACGCGAGGAACCUUACCUGGGUUUAAAUGGGAAAUGCCGUAUUUGGAAACAGAUAUUCUCUUCGGAGCGUUUUUCAAGGUGCUGCAUGGUUGUCGUCAGCUCGUGCCGUGAGGUGUCGGGUUAAGUCCCAUAACGAGCGCAACCCUUACCGUUAGUUGCUAGCAUGUAAUGAUGUGUACUCUAACGGGACUGCCACCGUAAGGUGAGAGGAAGGCGGGGAUGACGUCAAAUCAGCACGGCCCUUACACCCAGGGCUACACACGUGUUACAAUGGCCGGUACAGAGGGCCGCUACCAGGUGACUGGAUGCCAAUCUCAAAAGCCGGUCGUAGUUCGGAUUGGAGUCUGUAACCCGACUCCAUGAAGUUGGAUUCGCUAGUAAUCGCGCAUCAGCCAUGGCGCGGUGAAUACGUUCCCGGGCCUUGUACACACCGCCCGUCAAGCCAUGGAAGCCGGGGGUGCCUGAAGUCCGUAACCGCGAGGAUCGGCCUAGGGCAAAACUGGUAACUGGGGCUAAGUCGUAACAAGGUA
This 1489-nucleotide ribosomal RNA is filed under the name metagenome. RNAcentral describes it as "bacterial SSU rRNA". It matches the Rfam family "Bacterial small subunit ribosomal RNA". The record is from RNAcentral.